UCAGCUGCUAAGUCAUGGGUAUCCAGUGGCCCUCUGGAGCUGUCAGUGGGGAACUGAGACCUCCUGCCAAGUCAUGUGUGCCAGCCACUGUGUGAUCAGACCCCCAGCCUCCUGCAACUGCAGCCUCAGCCACAAAUCCCAAUUUGCAUACAGUUCCUAAAAGAAUAAGAGAAGUCUUCUGCUGAGGAUGACAGCAUGGAACUGAGCAUCUGUCCAUGUUACAGCCAACAGGAUGAAUAUGAGAAGCUGCCUAGAUGCUCUUGUGACCCCAUGGGCAAUACAGGAACCACUAUCACAAAGCACAUUGGUGACUGCCACCAACAAGAUCUGGAUGCAGAACGCUCAGCUACUUCUCCAGCACCAUGUAUGCCUGCUACCACGCUCCCACCAUGAUGACAAUGGACCUCU
Peromyscus leucopus (white-footed mouse) is the source of this 408-nucleotide long non-coding RNA. RefSeq lists it as uncharacterized. Lineage: Eukaryota; Metazoa; Chordata; Mammalia; Rodentia; Cricetidae. The record is from RefSeq and is a predicted model, not a curated record. The transcript has 3 exons.